GAUGAACGCUGGCGGCGUGCCUAACACAUGCAAGUCGAACGGUUGAGUACUUGACUUUUAGUUACUGAUUGUAAGAGAUGAGUGAUUAAAAGUUAAGUACUCGAUAGUGGCGGACGGGUGAGUAACGCGUAAGUAAUCAACCUGUGACACACGGAUAACUGAUAGAAAUGUCAGCUAAUACGAGAUGAACUGUUUAAAUUGGGAGAUAGAAACAGCAAAGCGAAAGCGGUCACAGACGAGCUUGCGUCUGAUUAGCUAGUUGGUGGGGUAAGAGCCUACCAAGGCGACGAUCAGUAGCCGGCCUGAGAGGGUGAACGGCCACAUUGGAACUGAGACACGGUCCAAACUCCUACGGGAGGCAGCAGUGGGGAAUAUUGCACAAUGGGGGGAACCCUGAUGCAGCGACGCCGCGUGAGCGAAGAAGGUUUUCGAAUCGUAAAGCUCUGUCCUAUGAGAAGAUAAUGACGGUAUCAUAGGAGGAAGCCCCGGCUAAAUACGUGCCAGCAGCCGCGGUAAUACGUAUGGGGCGAGCGUUGUCCGGAAUUAUUGGGCGUAAAGGGUACGUAGGCGGUUUUUUAAGUCAGGUGUGAAAGCGUGAGGCUUAACCUCAUUAAGCACUUGAAACUGGAAGACUUGAGUGAAGGAGAGGAAAGUGGAAUUCCUAGUGUAGCGGUGAAAUGCGUAGAUAUUAGGAGGAAUACCGGUGGCGAAGGCGACUUUCUGGACUUUUACUGACGCUCAGGUACGAAAGCGUGGGGAGCAAACAGG
RNAcentral lists this ribosomal RNA (768 nucleotides) under uncultured Peptostreptococcaceae bacterium. RNAcentral describes it as "bacterial SSU rRNA". It matches the Rfam family "Bacterial small subunit ribosomal RNA", at positions 28 to 776 of the family's 1533-position model. The record is from RNAcentral. Lineage: Bacteria; Bacillati; Bacillota; Clostridia; Peptostreptococcales; Peptostreptococcaceae.